Molecule: long non-coding RNA, 237 nt
Filed under: Lathyrus oleraceus (garden pea)
Lineage: Eukaryota; Viridiplantae; Streptophyta; Magnoliopsida; Fabales; Fabaceae
Description: Pisum sativum (pea) long non-coding RNA (PSAT_LNC020804)
Source: RNAcentral
UUUCUUUUUUUUUUAUCCCUAAUUUUUGCCUGAACCUUUUCUUUCUGUUUUUUUUGGUUCGCCGGGAUGCCCAUUUUUGCCUAGACUAUUUUAUUCUUUUCGUCCAGCGGGUCCCUUUAUACGAAGUAUUUUUUAACUGCGUCCGCAUUCACAGGGGAUGGAAAAUCCUCGCCAUCCAUGGUCGUUAACAACAAGGCUCCACCAGAGAAAACCUUCUUGACCACGAAUGGACCUUCA